AACGUAGGAGGCAAGCGUUAUCCGGAGUUACUGGGCGUAAAGCGCGUGUAGGUGGAUUGGUAAGUUACUUAUGAAAGCUCCUGGCUAAACUAGGAGAGGUUGGGUGAUACUGCCAGUCUUGAAUCGAGGAGAGGUUGACGGAAUUCCGCGUGUAGUGGUGAAAUGUGUAGAUAUUCGGAAGAACACCAGCGGCGAAGGCAGCAACUUGGUCUGGUAUUGACGCUCAGGCACGAAAGCAUGGGGAUCAAACAGG
This 253-nucleotide ribosomal RNA is filed under the name uncultured bacterium. Its description in RNAcentral is "partial 16S ribosomal RNA". It matches the Rfam family "Bacterial small subunit ribosomal RNA", at positions 524 to 776 of the family's 1533-position model. The record is from RNAcentral.